This is a long non-coding RNA of Heterocephalus glaber (naked mole-rat), 661 nucleotides long. The record is from Ensembl. Lineage: Eukaryota; Metazoa; Chordata; Mammalia; Rodentia; Bathyergidae.
GCUGUUUCGGCCCAACCCCCAAGCUCACAGCCCAGGUGGGAGGGGAGCAGCUGUGGCACCCAGCCCCUAUCCCUGACGAUAGAGAGCUGCAGAAGGGCCCCUACACCCCAGAAUCUGGAAAGAGCUCUAGCUCUGGUCUCUCUGGAUGGAGGCAGCCAAUUGGUCCUGCCUGAAGUCUAACCUUAGCUCCUCAUUCUGCAACACAAGCUCUAUUCCCUCAUGGUCUCUUGGGAGAAAGAAAAAUAACCAAAGUUGAGACUCGGAGAGAAAGUUCUCCCCCACUGCCAACCCCGACUGUCCUAUAGAAACUGGACCUGACUUCACUAAGAGGCUAGGGGUGGGUAUAACUCCUAAAACCAUCCCUGGCUAAGGCACCCACCUGAGAGAAAACCCAGUGUGGAACAGGGAGGACACUGCAUCUAGCUCCAGGAAGUCUGGGCCAUGGCUGAGACCUCUGGCUCAGUUCUUCUCCUGGUGAGGUCCACAGGACUGGUAAUAAGUUGGCUCCCCAAGACCUGAGAAUUUGAGAGACCUCAAGGAGCCUGCUUUCUAGAGAAGAGCUACGGGCAUUAGAGUGGAUCAAGUUCAAGCUAGUGGGAAAACAACUUUUGGUGAGCCCUAAUGUUCUGUGUUGUCUCUCUUUAACCCCCAGUACCACCAA